RNAcentral lists this long non-coding RNA (224 nucleotides) under Elaeis guineensis (African oil palm). RNAcentral describes it as "long non-coding RNA (EGUI_LNC037338)". Lineage: Eukaryota; Viridiplantae; Streptophyta; Magnoliopsida; Arecales; Arecaceae. The record is from RNAcentral.
UCCCUUGCCAUUCCCAUUUCUUCUCCAUCGGUAAGAUUGACUAGUAGCGACGGCGAUGGCAACAGUGAUGGAGCCAUCACCACACGCCACUGUUGAUAAUUAAGUUGCAUUAAUUAAAUUUAAUUAAUUGAUAAUUGAAGGAGGGGGGUGUAAAAAAUUUUGAUUAAACCAUCUAAACCGUCCAAUCUGAUCCGAACCGAACUAAAUAUGACGGUUUGGUGGUU